This is a long non-coding RNA of Xiphophorus hellerii (green swordtail), 1007 nucleotides long. RefSeq lists it as uncharacterized. The transcript has 3 exons. NCBI's taxonomy places the organism in Eukaryota, Metazoa, Chordata, Actinopteri, Cyprinodontiformes, Poeciliidae. The record is from RefSeq and is a predicted model, not a curated record.
AGACAGAUAAUCUGUGAAAAAUGCUAAUGGUGGAGAAACAACUUAUUGUUACAGGAAAAUAAUUUAUCUGCUGAGUAUUCACAACUGGCUAUGCUAGCUGCAGGAUAGCACACAGCUAGGGGAGGGAGCAGCCACAUGAGAUUGUGAUUGACAGCACUAAAACCCGCCUCCUGCCUCUGAUUGGUUGUUUCUAGGUAGCACUGGGAGAAGGCCGAGGAUAUCAUUUUUGGCAAGACUUUAUUUGACGGGUUGUAAAUAAGACUGUCAUGACAUUGUCAUAAACAUGAGGAAGUCUUCAUGAAUAUUUAUGACUGUUGUCAUAAAGUGUCAUUUGGCAAAUCAUGACACUUUUAAUACAAAGUUGACAUUAUUCAAAAAGUCCUUGUUAUGGCAACUUGACAUAAACCAAGAAAUCAUGAUCUGACAUACAUUUGUUAUAAAAGUAUUACCGAUUAAACUUUAAAAAUUAUGUAGCUUUAUCUGGUAAUAUUAUAUUGCUCUGCCAUGCUGUUUAAAUUUCUAAUUGAUCUGAAGUUUUACAGCAAGAUGUCUGCAAAGCACGCAUGAACUUUGCAUUUGAAACAUUUUUUCAGGCUGUUUUAAGUAGUGCAGUACACCAUCUCCACCAGUGGGAGGCAACAGUGCACCAACAGGCGUGCAGUGUGUUGGUGAAGAAGAAAUCUUCCAUCUUGUGGGGCCAAACUAACACAAGUUAUAACCGAAGUCUGACACCUAAUACAUCUGAGACCCGUUUCAGCCUAAGGACACAUGGUGGGGGGCAAAGGCGGCUAAUGAAGACGAGCUACAGGUGUGGAGGAUGAUGAUGAGGACCAGCCACCAGAGGAAGAAGCAGAUGAAAUAUUCCCAAAGAAAAUUAGUGACCUCAGUGGAUUGAGUCUUCACCCACUGUGAGAAUGUCCUGAAGAGAUUCACCAAGUUUGAAUUCACCAUGAUUAACUAUAGCAAGAACAGCUAUAAUUUCUGAGCAUUUCCUUCAAAGCUCUGCU